This is a long non-coding RNA of Bombus terrestris (buff-tailed bumblebee), 2865 nucleotides long. RefSeq lists it as uncharacterized. NCBI's taxonomy places the organism in Eukaryota, Metazoa, Arthropoda, Insecta, Hymenoptera, Apidae. The transcript has 3 exons. The record is from RefSeq and is a predicted model, not a curated record.
GUGUUUUGCGCAAUCGCGGCAUUCGUUCAACUUUUGUCUAUCGGUAACAACAAAGAAAUAAAGAAAGUGAAGCAAAAAGUAAAAUGCGUUGUACGUUACAUAGAGAAAAAAAAGAGUGAAACCGUCGUAAUCCAGUGGAAGUUAAUUAUCUUAACGGCGUUGUACCAAUAAUUCGAAACAUAGAGCCAGUAAAUUAAGGACAGUUCCCUGAUUCAACGUAAUGGCUUACUUCCCAUUCGGCUUUGCAACCAGUUUCAUAUGCUAUUCGCGAUGAAAUAGGUUUCAUUGUAAGGUGACAUGUGGCGAUUAGAGUACUAGCUAUUUGUUUCAGGUUUUAAGUAGUUAUAAUGUGGAUAAAAGUUCGCUGGUUAGGUUGGUAUUUGACGAAUAAGGUUUUCAACCAAAGAAGGUUCACGAGUUCUUCUGAAAAAUUUUUAUUUACUUUUAAGAGGAAACAGUAAGUUCACUACUAUUUCGCAACGGAAGUAUUUUUUUCUUUACUACUAAAAAAGGCAUAAGUUAAAUUUCUAAUAAAAACAAAGGUAAUAUUGUUGUUAUUACUGCUAUUAUUUCUGUAUCAUAAUGUUAUGGAUAGUUAUCAGUUAAUUAAUUCCCAUCUUAGUAGAUGAUGAUUAUUUUUUUAUUUAAAUUCAUGUUUAUUUUUGCAAAUAUCUCGGAAAUGAGGAUUCAGCAAAACCAAUGGUAUUUUCACAAAUUAAGAGACGACAGGGAUAACAGUCGUUUUAUCGAAUAUUAAAAUAACACGUGGACUUGGUAAGAGAAUUUAUAUUUAAAUUCUCUUACUUAGUGUUAGAUGUGUAAGCGAGGCAGAUUUAUGGUGGCGAUUAAAUAGCACAAAGAGGCAUUUUUUGGUGCAUAUUCAAUGACCAGGCAGUUUACUGUUCGUAAUUAUCGUGUACGACACUUUCACGCGAUGUAGUUGGACAUUAAUUUCAAGAUUGACACUGAGAUAACACGUUACGUCAUGACUUCGCUCAAGGACCGACGUUUGUCAUUGCAGAAAUAGAAGUAAAUUGCGAAUUUACGGGUAUCUGAAAAAAGUAGCCGUGGGUGGAAACGAACACACCACGUGUUUUGCUCUAACAAUCCAUCCCACUCGUUUCAGCAACUAAUUGGCAAUGUAUUUAAAAUAGCCAGAUUUUAAUAUUUUGAUGUCUGUAAAUAUUAAAUAAUGGAACUUUAUUAAUCGUGGUACAAUUCGAUAUUCUAAUUUUUAUUUGAAGUGUUUACGAUAAGUUUUCGAUAUUUGCCUAGAUUAUCCGUUACGCCGAUUAAUCAGUACUUAUUAUAAUUAUCUGUUAGAUGCACAAUCUUCGCAUGUAGAAUAUUAAAUACUUCAACAGUCGAUGGCAUUGUCGAGGAUAAAUCUUGAAGUACUCCUGCGAUAUAUGUGUUCGAUAUAUUUUAAGUAAGUUAAUCUUUCAAGCGAAAUUUGUUUUUCGAAUCUGUAGUUUUAUCGAACAAGUUUUAAGAAGCUCGACUUAACGAUAGAUCUUAUAACGCAUUGUAAAAGCAUCGGUAAGUGUCCCAGAAUCUUUUAAAAAAAGUUUAUGAAGUUUUUUUCUAUAGGAAAAGAGACUCUCACAUUAUAACAGGCACGUUUCUGUCCUAAAAACGUUCAUAUUAUGAAGACAUCGAUGGAAUACUAACGCCGGACAUUAUUAAACGAUUCCUCUGCAAUCACAAAAAAAUUUCCAGGACGUUUUUAUUUUUCCUGUCUUCUGUGAAAAAAAUAAAAAAUCCAGGAGGAGAAUGCUGCAUAAUGUUGGUAUAAUAUAACAGUGUCUUCGCAUACAAAGUUAUCAGGACGACGAAGAAGAAAAUGAGUUAACUGGUGUUAGCCGGUUGAAAGGUCAACGGAUGAUUAAAAUUCCCGAAGGGUAAUUCAGUGAUAAUCUUAAGAGACUGAUAUCACCCAGUGGUGAUUCGAUUUCUUCCUCGAGCAACGUCACUCUUACGUUCUUAUUAUUUUAUUUAUCUAAACUCGCAUUCACCUUUGGGCGAGUAUUAUAGUAUACAGAUAUAUUACAUAGGCUUGUACAAUACUAUAUUAGAUCAGUCUGUUAUUAAGUAAUUACCAACAUUGCAUGUUAUAACAAAUGUUAUGUCCAUUAUACAAUAUUUACAUUGUAUGAUGGGCAUAUUAUGUAUAACAGAUGUCAAUUACGGUGUAUGCUGUUGUUGUUUCACUGCAGCUACGUUAGUUGGACAAGGAUUACGUCGCUUAGGAAUUUCUAGAGAUGUUUCACCGCUCUCAUCUUGUCAUGCUGCUGCUUUUUCGGGAGACAACCGUGUGAUGAGCUGCACUUUUGCGUCAACGUCCGAUGAACAUUGCAGUUUACUUCUCGACGACAGACCUGAAUGUUUUGCGAACGUUGGCGUGAAAGUGCAGCUUACCACACGGUUGUCUCCUGAAAAUUCAAAAUCCGUGACAAAACAGAAGUAGCGAAACAUCUUUAUCGCCAAUUAUCGUUAAAGUUUAAAGUUAAUCGAAAUCCGCAAAUUAACUUCCUUCUCAUUUACGCUCGAUUUAACCAGUUACCUGUCUCUGACGAGUAUAUUCGUUAGGAAGAAACAACAGUAUUUUGCGUUAUCACGAGCCUUUUCAGUAACAAAAUUAAAAAAUAAAACAAUCAUCUCGUUACAACUUAAUUCUCUAUUAUGACAGCUACUCAUACUCCGUGUUUGACGAGUAUACUCGUCAUCGCUUACCUUUUGCCACACAUUUUAGGUACACACUUUGCAAAGAGAUCGCAACAGCUAACUUUUUACAAGACGUUUGGAACGUUAUAUCCUCUAUAUCCGUUUCGAUAUUCUUUUGCAAAUAAAUAAUUAUGUGCUUCG